This 500-nucleotide ribosomal RNA is filed under the name uncultured Glomeromycotina. Its description in RNAcentral is "partial small subunit ribosomal RNA". It matches the Rfam family "Eukaryotic small subunit ribosomal RNA", at positions 591 to 1092 of the family's 1831-position model. The record is from RNAcentral. Lineage: Eukaryota; Fungi; Glomeromycota.
CCAAUAGCGUAUAUUAAAGUUGUUGCAGUUAAAAAGCUCGUAGUUGAAUUUCGGGAUCAAUAUAUCGGUCGUGCCUUCGGUACGUACUGGUAUCGUUGAUUUCUACCUUCUGACGAACCAUGAUGUCAUUAAUUUGGUGUCAUGGGAAAUCAGGACUGUUACUUUGAAAAAAUUAGAGUGUUUAAAGCAGGCACACGCUUGAAUACAUUAGCAUGGAAUAAUGAAAUAGGACGUUUGAUCCUAUUUUGUUGGUUUCUAGGGUCGACGUAAUGAUUAAUAGGGAUAGUUGGGGGCAUUAGUAUUCAAUUGUCAGAGGUGAAAUUCUUGGAUUUAUUGAAGACUAACUACUGCGAAAGCAUUUGCCAAGGAUGUUUUCAUUAAUCAAGAACGAAAGUUAGGGGAUCGAAGACGAUCAGAUACCGUCGUAGUCUUAACCAUAAACUAUGCCGACUAGGGAUCGGAUGAUGUUAAUUUUUUAAUGACUCAUUCGGCGCCUUACG